RNAcentral lists this ribosomal RNA (406 nucleotides) under uncultured bacterium. Its description in RNAcentral is "partial 16S ribosomal RNA". It matches the Rfam family "Bacterial small subunit ribosomal RNA", at positions 30 to 526 of the family's 1533-position model. The record is from RNAcentral.
AUUGAACGCUGGCGGCAGGCCUAACACAUGCAAGUCGAACGAGUGGCGGACGGGUGAGUAAUGUCUGGGAAACUGCCCGAUGGAGGGGGAUAACUACUGGAAACGGUAGCUAAUACCGCAUACCAUCGGAUGUGCCCAGAUGGGAGUAGCUUGUAGGUGAGGUAACGGCUCACCUAGGCGACGAUCCCUAGCUGGUCUGUGAGGAUGACCAGCCAAAAUGGAACGGCGACACGUUCAAGACUCCACCGGGGGGAAGCAGUGGGGAAUAUUGGCAAAUGGGCGUAAGCCUGAUGCAGCAAUGCCGCGUGUAUGAAGAAGGCCUUCGGGUGGUAAAGUACUUUCCGCGGGGAGGCGUUACCCGCAGAAGAAGCACCGGCUAACUCCGUGCCAGCAGCCGCGGUAAUAC